AUUGAACGCUGGCGGCAUGCCUUACACAUGCAAGUCGAACGGCAGCACGGGAGCAAUCCUGGUGGCGAGUGGCGAACGGGUGAGUAAAGUAUCGGAACGUGCCCAGUCGUGGGGGAUAACGUAGCGAAAGUUACACUAAUACCGCAUACGAUCUAUGGAUGAAAGCGGGGGAUCGCAAGACCUCGCGCGAUUGGAGCGGCCGAUAUCAGAUUAGGUAGUUGGUGGGGUAAAGGCUCACCAAGCCGACGAUCUGUAGCUGGUCUGAGAGGACGACCAGCCACACGUGAACUGAGACACGGCCCACACUCCGCCGGGAGGCAGGAGGGGUUAAUUUUGGACAAGGGGCGAAAGCCUGAUCCAGCCAUGCGGCGUGCGGAAGGAGGUCCUUGGGUUUUUAAACGCCUUUUGUACGGAACAAAAAGUUUUGACUUAAUACGUUGGACUCAUGACGUUACCGUAAGAAUAAGCACCGGCUAACUACGUGCCAGCCGCCGCCGUAA
This 500-nucleotide ribosomal RNA is filed under the name uncultured bacterium. Its description in RNAcentral is "partial 16S ribosomal RNA". It matches the Rfam family "Bacterial small subunit ribosomal RNA", at positions 30 to 523 of the family's 1533-position model. The record is from RNAcentral.